RNAcentral lists this ribosomal RNA (467 nucleotides) under uncultured bacterium. Its description in RNAcentral is "partial 16S ribosomal RNA". It matches the Rfam family "Bacterial small subunit ribosomal RNA", at positions 28 to 507 of the family's 1533-position model. The record is from RNAcentral.
GACGAACGCUGGCGGCGUGCUUAACACAUGCAAGUCGAACGGAAAGGCCCUGCUUUUGUGGGGUGCUCGAGUGGCGAACGGGUGAGUAACACGUGAGUAACCUGCCCUUGACUUUGGGAUAACUUCAGGAAACUGGGGCUAAUACCGGAUAGGAGCUCCUGCUGCAUGGUGGGGGUUGGAAAGUUUCGGCGGUUGGGGAUGGACUCGCGGCUUAUCAGCUUGUUGGUUGGGUAGUGGCUUACCAUGUCUUUGACGGGUAGCCGGCCUGAGAGGGUGACCGGCAAAAUGGGGACGGAGAGACGGCAAAGACACGUAGGGGAGGAAGGAGUGGGGAAAAUUGAACAAGGGGCGGAAGCGUGAUGCAGAAAGGCCGCGUGCGGGAUGACGGCCUUCGGGUUGUAAACCGCUUUCGCAGGUGACGAAGCGUGAGUGACGGAAUGGGUAAAGAAGCACCGGCUAACUACGUG